This 1194-nucleotide long non-coding RNA is filed under the name Capra hircus (goat). Its description in RNAcentral is "lncRNA (ENSCHIG00010022179.1)". Lineage: Eukaryota; Metazoa; Chordata; Mammalia; Artiodactyla; Bovidae. The record is from RNAcentral.
AUGGGACCUGGGACAGGUGAGACAGCACCAGCACUCACCCUGGGCCUUGAGAAGGCUGCAGCGUCUGCUUUUCCCAUCGCUCUCGGAACCAGCACCGUGAGAGAAGGCUCACUGAAUCCACCAAGAAACACAUGGCGCAGUCACCCCCUGUCACCGCAGCUGAUAGCCAGCCAGCUACGGGGAGAGCCGACUAAGAGGGCUAUAGAGAGGCCUUCCAGGGGGGCACUGACGUCAGGUAGCACGAGUGAUGCUAGCAUCAGCCAAGCCCGGACUAGACCAGAAGAACCACCAUAUAAGCUCUCUUCUUAUUUGCAGCCUCCUCCAUCGUUCUUCAGCACACCUAGGGAAGAGCCAUGCAAUCAGAAGCACACAUGUUGGACUUUCCAAAGAUAAAAAAUGUACUGUUAUCGGUAAAAGCCAUUAAGAUCUUGAGGUUGUUGCAGCAGUUAAUUUAUCCUGGCUACUUCACCUCUGUCUUGGGGUUGUUCAAUAGAUUAAAUAAAAUGAAUGUAAUGGCUUGAAUAUUACUCCUGCCCUGCAGUGAUAUAUCUAUAUCCAAACCCUAGGAUACUGGGAAUGUGGCCUUAUGAGGUAAAAGGGUCUCUGUAGUUGUCCUUAAGGAUCUUGAGGUCAUCCUGGAUUACCUGUUACAUGUGUGGGCUCUAAAUCCACUGAUGACUGUCUUUAUUUUUUUAAUAAUAUUUAUUUAUUAUUUAUUAGACUGCUUUGGAUCGAUCUUAAGCCCCGUUGGGGUGCAGGGGCUUAGCUACCCCACGGCAUGUGAGAUCUUGGUUCUCCAACCCAAGUCCUCUGCGUUGCAAGGUGAAUUCUUAACCACUGGGCCACCAGGGAAGUCCUGAUGGCUGUCUUUAUAAAGCAGGAGAGUUUUAUAAGCCACAGAUAGACGAGGAGAUGGUCACGUGAAGAUAAGAGGCAGAGAUUGGAGCGAGAUAGCCACAAACCAAGGAAAGCCUGGAGCAGCUGGAAGAGGCAAAGAACAGAUUCCUCCACGGGGCCUUCCUGUUAUGGCCAAACGCUCCAGGAAACACUCACGCAGAAGGACAGCGUGGAUAGUGGAGAGCAGUUUAUGACACCGCGGGUCCGAGGCGGUUUCCUCCUUAGCCAGGGCCCCCGACCGACUUACGUGAAAACCUUAUAUACCUUAAGUGUACUGCUCAAGCCCACAUCCCCAGA